Cervus elaphus (red deer) is the source of this 862-nucleotide long non-coding RNA. RefSeq lists it as uncharacterized. The record is from RefSeq and is a predicted model, not a curated record. Lineage: Eukaryota; Metazoa; Chordata; Mammalia; Artiodactyla; Cervidae. The transcript is spliced from 3 exons.
UAGAGGGCGAGGCCGAAGAGCACAAAACCCACGCUGAGCCCCAUUGCCCCGGCCAGGUACACCGGCACUAGAACCAGCAGCCGCCGCCCGAACGAGCUCAGCACCGCCAAGGCCUCGCCCGCCGCUCCUGGGCCGGCAGAGACGAAGGUGGAGUCUAAAGCUCGGAACCCCGCCCCGUUCCGCGAGGAGGGGGAAAGGGCUCGGGAGAAGCAGGACCUUGCCGAUUGGACCUGAGUGCCAAGAUGGGCGGCCCGGGAUGGCGGGAAAAGGAGGUAAAGGCUAAAGACUAGCAUGUGAUUAGUUAGAAACAGGAGGAGGCGUGGCUACCAUUUAAAGAGGAGAGGCGGGACCAGGAGUUCCCCACGUGGGAUUGGCGUGCCUGUGGUAUGACGUCAUGCGGAGCGCUCCGCUAAUUACUCGGCUUUAGAGUUUGCAGAACUGUAUAAAGGACAAUUUUCUAUCUAUGUUCUCCAUAUCCUGAGAUGAGCAGGUAUAAAAGGAGUUCAAGGGGUUAUUAUUUCUGAUUCCUUGGAGGAGGUAAGAAUGAUUUGUCUGCCCACCAGCUGAUGAAACAGAACCAUAGCAGGAAAAUGUAUGAACAUCCUUAGAGGAAAACCUAAUAAAACUAAAAUGUGCCAAAUACUGGAGUAGAGGGAAGGAGUCCCUUAGGCUGGGGGAUGAAGAGGGUGACUUAUGGAAGUUCCUUUCCAAACUUUUCCCCUUUCUCAUCCUAUCCAGAUCAGACCCUCCUACUGAAGACAGUAUGUGGAAGACAAAAGCUCAUCCUCAGGAAGGUCUCUUCGCAACUGGCACCCAGGAACCACAGAAUCAGCAGCUGCAAUGCAGGCACCAGAACGAGUAA